GAGGCCCCUCAGCCUGUUCAUCUGCUCCUGCUCCUUGAGGAUGAUGAAGGGCCUUCCAUAUUCAUCGAAGGCAAGCGCCAUGCUUACUGUCAAAUCAAUGAAAGAGAGACAACUUCAUCAAAUAUUUCAGUAUGAAAGUAAAGCGAAAUGAAGUGACAGAGAUAGAGAUAGAGAGAGAGGAUCUGAUUUGCAGGGAAAGCCUGAAAGAAUAAUAAUAAGAAGAAGAAGAACGAGAGAGGGAAAUGAAACUUUUACAUACGGAGCGAGAACGUGCUGAAAAAUGGACUUUUUAGAGAGAGAGAGAUUAAGACCGUGCCUGAAGAGUUAAAGAGUAGAGAGAAGAAGAAGAGCAAGACGAAGUUUUGAACAUUUGAAGCCCUAGAUUUGUGCUUUGCAUUAUAGGCAGAGCUCCCGCCUGCAAAAGCUUCCUUUUUGGAAAUGACGAAAUUGUCC
Molecule: long non-coding RNA, 453 nt
Filed under: Amborella trichopoda
Lineage: Eukaryota; Viridiplantae; Streptophyta; Magnoliopsida; Amborellales; Amborellaceae
Description: long non-coding RNA (ATRI_LNC004216)
Source: RNAcentral